GGGGAGGUCUGGCUGAGAAGGUGACAGCUGAGCAAAGACUGGAAGGAGAGGAGAGAGGGCGCCAUGGGGAAACCUGGCGGAGAGUAUUCCACCAGAGGGAACAACCAGUACCAAGGUCCUGAGGUAGAAUACGCUUGAUGUGGUCAUGGAAUAGCAAGAAGGCGUGAGGGGUGGAGCAGGGUGAGGAAGGGGGCAGGUGGGAGGCCACGGGGUCAGAGAGGCGAUGGGGGCAGGUCAUGUGGGGCCUCGGGGGCCACGGUGAGGGCUCUGCCCUUUACUCAGAGCAGGGUGGCACCCCCGAAGGGCUCUGAGCAGACGAUGGACGUAGUCCGAUGCAGGUGUUCACAGCGUCCCUCUGGCUGUGGGAACAGACGGAGGGCGGGGGCGGGGGGAGCAGGAGACCAUGGAGGGGUUACUUCAGUGGUCCAGGCAGGAGAUGAGGGUGGACGGGACCAGGGUGGGAGAGAAGGGGGCAGGUUCUGGAUGGAUUUCAUGAAGUUGGAGCCCGCACAGUUAGCUGAGAGCCUGGUUGUGGGUGUGAGAGAAUGCAGAGUGGAAUACUUGCCCUGGGCCCCUGGCAGGUCUGGGGUGUGGUCCACAGGGAGGUCGCCUGUGCCGGCACGGCAGGGACCAUGCUUCCGGGUGCUCCCGAGUCCCGGGACUGAGGACAGGCCCACCAUGACUGUUUCUCAGCGUCCCAGGCUGAAUCGUGCCUUCCUUUGAGCACCUCUCCCACCAGCCCCUGCCUGGGGCCCUUGCUGAGCCAGCGACACCCAGGCUGCAUGGCGCCAGCUGGGUCCAAACAAUGCAAAUAAAACAGCAGGAAUGAGGUGCUGUGGCCCCUGGGAGGCAAAGAUGAGGCCCCUCAGCUCCUCGAUUCCCUGAGGGAGGACGGACAGGGGAGGAGGGGGCCUGGGGAAAACCUGGCCCCGGACGGGAGGGAGAGAAAUGUUCUGUGAGCACAUGCAUGGGCUUGGACUCAAGGCUGACAGAGCUCUGCCGCCUCCUCAGUCUGAGGCCUUGCGCAAGGUGUCUCUGAGCCUCCUUUUGUUCCCCCUAAAAGGGAUCCGAAUGCCCAUUGUUGGGAAGACUCACUGGGAUCAUUCACGAGCCCAGCCAGGAGCAGCAUUAAGCUUGGUGCAAUGUAAAUGCUUUGAAACGGUUCCUCCCGUGGGGCUGGGGUAGGCGGUGUCGCCAGGGGUGACGAGACACGAUAGUUCACACCCUCACUCUGCACCUUUAGGUUAAUUUUUCUGAGCCUCAGUUUCCCCAAAAUUGAGUCCUGAUUUCCCCACCAGCUUCCUCCCAUCUCUGUAAAGAGCAGCACAGUCUCUUUCGUUCUUGGACCAGAAACUGUGGAGUCCGCUUGGAUUUUCUGUUUCUCUCACACCCCAUCAGGAGCGUCCUCCCACCAGGAAGUGGGGGCACUGCCAUUUGUAAUACUGUCCCGGAAAUUCUCGAAGCCAGGGCUGCCGUGCUGUCUGGACAGGGGACCCUGGCUUUAGAUCAGGACCCGUGUUGGUCCCAUCCUGUUUCUCCCCUUUAGGGCGCUCUCCAAAGCUCUUUCUCCACCCAGAUCACCACUCCUGUGUGCAUGGGGCCGGCCGGAACUCCAAGACGCCGGCCCUAAUGGGGUCAUCCCUCCCGCGGUUGGACCCCAGUUCCAGGAGAGCAGCCUGGCAGCGGGUGGCUCCCGCUGGCUGGCCGCCAGGACAGCACUGGAGUGCUGACUUGAGACGCCUCGGACUUGCUUCCUGAGACACGGGACGAGUCCAGGGCUCUGGGUCGUCAACUGCCCACCACCCCUUGGGCUGGAGCCGAGGAGGGAGGGGAGAGGGGCUGGAAUGCAGUGAAUAACUGCUCAUGCCUACGUGAAGAAGCCUCCGGGAAAUCCCCAGAGUCCAGCGUCUAGGGAACUUCCAGGAUGGCGGCACAGCGACACUUGGAGGGUGACGCAUCCCAGCUCCAUGGGGACAAAAGCUGGGGACCCUCCCCACCUCGCCCUGUGUAUCUCUUCAUCUGGCUGUUCAUCUUGGUCAGACCUCUUUCCUCCCAGGGCCAUCGAGACCAUGAUCCCACGACGCCAUGGUCCCUUCCAGCGACGGGAGACAAGAAGCUCCCCUAGAAUGGAGAUUCGACUCUUUGCCCAGUUCAGGCCGGUUAAGAGGUUCAGACCACCAAAUGCCCAAUAGGUGACCCUUUGAUGUCAGGGGCCGAACACUCCACCCUCAGAUCAUGCAAAGGCCACCAUUUUGUGAACAUGCGCCUUAUGAAGAGCCAUGUAGCUUGACUGUGCUCGUGCGGACCACCAG
This 2312-nucleotide long non-coding RNA is filed under the name Equus caballus (horse). RNAcentral describes it as "lncRNA (ENSECAG00000054418.1)". Lineage: Eukaryota; Metazoa; Chordata; Mammalia; Perissodactyla; Equidae. The record is from RNAcentral.